UUAUUUUCUAUACAUGACAUCGUUCAACUAUAGUUGCUUCUUUAUAUAUGUAUAUAAUUUUCAGAGUUGGCUGAAAAACGCUUAAUAUAUUUAUCAAAGUACGUUCUGAAUUAAUGAGUUUUAAAUUCAUCGUUGCUGGUUGUUGAGUGACAUUAUAUUUAUCAAGCGUCCCGUCUCGUCCCGGUCUUCCCGUAAUAAACCCCUCCUUCGGACGGGAAGAAUAAACAAAGGAGGGUCAUUAAAAUGGCUAUUUCGGAUCGUCUGCUAGCGCGACUAACUAACUGACUAGAUAUCCAUUGGUACUUGUAGAGAGAGGACCUUGGAGGUGGAGGUGAACGUUUAACGAGCGUUAAAUAGCGGCCCCUUCACUAGCACCAGGGUAGCAAGUACCAGGCACUGUUGAGCUCCUCUCCCUCCAACGCGAUGAACCCACACCCACACGGUGAAUCCAUGGAAGAGUGAGAAAUUUCGUCUCAUGCACAAUCUGACAAUUUUCAGAAGAAGAAAUAACAAAACCUGGAUUUUGAAAAGUUAUGGUGUUAUUAAUAAUGUAUUUCCAACGUUUCGGCUGAUUAUUUUGAUAUAGGCACUCAAGUAUUUCAAAACGACGAAUUUUUUGCACAUUGUAAUAAUGACCGCAAGUUUGUGUCAUAUCAAUAAUUUCAGAAUAUUGAAUGAGAGAUCAUUUUAGAUUUAUUUUACGUGCCCGCAGAAAAUAUGCUGUAUUUUGUACUAUUUUAAACAUCUGUAGCCUAUCCCGUCACCAAUGAAAAGGUAUACAUUAUAAAACAUAUUUUUAUUAAAUAAUAAAAUACGCGUAGUAUAAACCGAAAAAUAUUAGUUUUAUUUAAAUGAAUACUCGCAAAAUUCUUAGAUCUCAUUACUAUAAAACAUUUUUUUACUUUUUAUCAUGCAAGAUUUGCAAUCCAAUAGGCCUCUAUGAGGCUUGAGGGAAUCCCCACAAACCAUCGUGGGCUCCUAUAAUACAAGUAGGACUAGCUUUAUACACUAGGUUAGGUUAAAUGACAAAUGUUGAGAAUGGUACAGAAGUGUCGUCGAAGUAAAAUAUUUAGCUUUAUAUAUCAAAAUAAUAAAUUUGCUUACAUUUAAAAAAAAAUAUGAAUUUUUAUUUCGCUCAAAGUCGUUAAGUUGAGCCGCGUACGACCUGGCACGGCUAAGAGAUCAAUGCAUGCCAUGUAUUUUUAAUUUUAUAACGCAGAACAAAAGUAACAGCGACAGAUGAGUGUGACCUAUCAACAACUCAUUAUUCACUUUAAAUACCGAUACAACGAAUUUCUCAAACGUCGACAUGAUUACUGACAUACUGUUAGCUCUUACCUCUUAGUAUGAAACUGUUUGUUACUCGAAAUAUGAAACAAGCACCAUUCACGUCUACUAAUGCUUCAGUUAUGACCAAGACACCUUCGCUUCUAGACUUCAUAAGCAUAUUAUGGAAAAUUAUGCUAUUUAAAGACAGACUUCAAGAAGCCCUGUUAGUGACUUUACAUCAGGGAUAAACAGUUAAUACUUUUAGACUUUAAGAACAGCAUCAGCGGACAAUCCCUUAUAAACUUACAAAUUGUAUUUAGUACAUACAUAAAAAGAAUU
This is a long non-coding RNA of Danaus plexippus (monarch butterfly), 1608 nucleotides long. RefSeq lists it as uncharacterized. The transcript has 4 exons. The record is from RefSeq and is a predicted model, not a curated record. NCBI's taxonomy places the organism in Eukaryota, Metazoa, Arthropoda, Insecta, Lepidoptera, Nymphalidae.